This 492-nucleotide ribosomal RNA is filed under the name uncultured bacterium. RNAcentral's name for it is "partial 16S ribosomal RNA". It matches the Rfam family "Bacterial small subunit ribosomal RNA", at positions 29 to 507 of the family's 1533-position model. The record is from RNAcentral.
AGUGAACGCUGGCGGUAGGCCUAACACAUGCAAGUCGAACGGCAGCACAGUAAGAGCUUGCUCUUACGGGUGGCGAGUGGCGGACGGGUGAGGAAUACAUCGGAAUCUACUUUUUCGUGGGGGAUAACGUAGGGAAACUUACGCUAAUACCGCAUACGACCUACGGGUGAAAGCAGGGGAUCUUCGGACCUUGCGCGAUUGAAUGAGCCGAUGUCGGAUUAGCUAGUUGGCGGGGUAAAGGCCCACCAAGGCGACGAUCCGUAGCUGGUCUGAGAGGAUGAUCAGCCACACUGGCACUGAGACACGGUCCAGACUCCGACGGGAGGCAGCAGUGGGGAAUAUUGGACAAUGGGCGCAAGCCUGAUCCAGCCAUACCGCGUGGGUGAAGAAGGCCUUCGGGUUGUAAAGCCCUUUUGUUGGGAAAGAAAAGCAGCAGGUUAAUACCCCGCUGUUCUGACGGUACCCAAAGAAUAAGCACCGGCUAACUUCGUG